AGAGUUUGAUCCUGGCUCAGAAUGAACGCUGGCGGCAUGCCUAACACAUGCAAGUCGAACGAAGGCUUCGGCCUUAGUGGCGCACGGGUGCGUAACGCGUGGGAAUCUGCCCUUGGGUUCGGAAUAACAGUUAGAAAUGACUGCUAAUACCGGAUGAUGUCGUAAGACCAAAGAUUUAUCGCCCAAGGAUGAGCCCGCGUAGGAUUAGCUAGUUGGUGAGGUAAAAGCUCACCAAGGCGACGAUCCUUAGCUGGUCUGAGAGGAUGAUCAGCCACACUGGGACUGAGACACGGCCCAGACUCCUACGGGAGGCAGCAGUGGGAAUAUUGGACAAUGGGCGAAAGCCUGAUCCAGCAAUGCCGCGUGAGUGAUGAAGGCCUUAGGGUUGUAAAGCUCUUUUACCCGGGAUGAUAAUGACAGUACCGGGAGAAUAAGCUCCGGCUAACUUCGUGCCAGCAGCCGCGGUUAAUACGUAGGGCGCAAGCGUUAUCCGGGAAUUAUUGGGCGUAGAGAGCUCGUAGGCGGUUUGUCGCGUCUGCCGUGAAAGUCCGGGGCUUAACUCCGGAUCUGCGGUGGGUACGGGCAGGCUAGAGUGCAGUAGGGGAGACUGGAAUUCCUGGUGUAGCGGUGAAAUGCGCAGAUAUCAGGAGGAACACCGAUGGCGAAGGCAGGUCUCUGGGCUGUAACUGACGCUGAGGAGCGAAAGCAUGGGUAGCGAACAGGAUUAGAUACCCUGGUAGUCCAUGCCGUAAACGUUGGGCACUAGGUGUGGGGGACAUUCCACGUUUUCCGCGCCGUAGCUAACGCAUUAAGUGCCCCGCCUGGGGAGUACGGCCGCAAGGCUAAAACUCAAAGGAAUUGACGGGGGCCCGCACAAGCGGCGGAGCAUGCGGAUUAAUUCGAUGCAACGCGAAGAACCUUACCAAGGCUUGACAUGGACUAGAUCGCCGCAGAGAUGUGGUUUCCCUUCGGGGCUGGUUCACAGGUGGUGCAUGGGUUGUCGUCAGCUCGUGUCGUGAGAUGUUGGGUUAAGUCCCGCAACGAGCGCAACCCUCGUUCUAUGUUGCCAGCACGUUAUGGUGGGGACUCAUAGGAGACUGCCGGGGUCAACUCGGAGGAAGGUGGGGACGACGUCAAAUCAUCAUGCCCCUUAUGUCUUGGGCUUCACGCAUGCUACAAUGGCCGGUACAAAGGGUUGCGAUACUGUGAGGUGGAGCUAAUCCCAAAAAGCCGGUCUCAGUUCGGAUUGGGGUCUGCAACUCGACCCCAUGAAGUUGGAGUCGCUAGUAAUCGCAGAUCAGCAACGCUGCGGUGAAUACGUUCCCGGGCCUUGUACACACCGCCCGUCACACCAUGGGAGUGGGUUGCAAAAGAAGUAGGUAGCUUAACCUUCGGGAGGGCGCUUACCACUUUGUGAUUCAUGACUGGGGUGAAGUCGUAACAAGGUAACCGUA
This 1454-nucleotide ribosomal RNA is filed under the name uncultured Actinomycetes bacterium. RNAcentral's name for it is "uncultured actinobacterium partial 16S ribosomal RNA". It matches the Rfam family "Bacterial small subunit ribosomal RNA". The record is from RNAcentral. Lineage: Bacteria; Bacillati; Actinomycetota; Actinomycetes.